UACAGAGGGUGCGAGCGUUAAUCGGAAUUACUGGGCGUAAAGCGUGCGUAGACGGUUAUUUAAGUCGGGUGUGAAAGCCCCGGGCUCAACCUGGGAAUUGCAUUCGAGACUGAAUAGCUAGGGUACGGUAGAGGGAAGUGGAAUUUCCGGUGUAGCGGUGAAAUGCGUAGAUAUCGGAAGGAACACCGGUGGCGAAGGCGGCGUUCUGGACUGUCUCUGACACUGAAGAACGAAAGCCAGGGGAGCAAACGGG
Molecule: ribosomal RNA, 253 nt
Filed under: uncultured bacterium
Lineage: Bacteria
Description: partial 16S ribosomal RNA
Rfam family: Bacterial small subunit ribosomal RNA
Source: RNAcentral